AGCGAACGCUGGCGGCAGGCUUAACACAUGCAAGUCGAGCGCCCCGCAAGGGGAGCGGCAGACGGGUGAGUAACGCGUGGGAACAUGCCCUUUGGUUCGGAAUAACUCAGGGAAACUUGAGCUAAUACCGGAUAAGCCCUUUUGGGGAAAGAUUUAUCGCCGAAGGAUUGGCCCGCGUCCGAUUAGCUAGUUGGUGUGGUAACGGCGCACCAAGGCGACGAUCGGUAGCUGGUCUGAGAGGAUGAUCAGCCACACUGGGACUGAGACACGGCCCAGACUCCUACGGGAGGCAGCAGUGGGGAAUAUUGGACAAUGGGCGCAAGCCUGAUCCAGCCAUGCCGCGUGAGUGAUGAAGGCCCUAGGGUUGUAAAGCUCUUUCGACGGGGACGAUAAUGACGGUACCCGUAGAAGAAGCCCCGGCUAACUUCGUGCCAGCAGCCGCCGUAAAAC
This 450-nucleotide ribosomal RNA is filed under the name uncultured bacterium. RNAcentral's name for it is "bacterial SSU rRNA". It matches the Rfam family "Bacterial small subunit ribosomal RNA", at positions 29 to 526 of the family's 1533-position model. The record is from RNAcentral.